AUGUUCCAUAUUCAACAUACAUUCUGCCAACAUGAUGUGGACUGGCCUGAUUUUUUUUGUUUAGCGUAUGCUCAUUGUGCCUCUGACCUGAUUAAUUGCCUGGGUGUCGCAUACAUGUGGCAUCCACCACAUGUGAGAGAUUGCACUUCGCAUUCCUUGUCUGUAUUUAUUAUGCAAUGAGAUUGACUUGUAGCAAUCUGCUCCAACCACAACGUGAUCGAACACUGAGCUCUGAUUUUUCAAUCAAAUGUUGCCACAACACACAUCAUCUUGAUUUUGGUAAAGAGACUGCAUGGUGGGGACCACCUAUGAACACAGAUAAAGGUUGAAGAAUCAUAACACAUCAUCCCAUAUGUAUACCUCGUGUCCGACUGUAGCUAUCUACAGGCAAGGUUCCUGUACAUAUAGCCCGCUCGGGCAUUUCUCCAUUUGUUUUCUUUUGUAGCCACUUGUAGUUUAGUGUAUGGGGUUCCAAAGAUGUAUGUUCCAAGACCAUGAAUACAGUCAACUCUCCUUCAAUGAUUGUGCUUCUGUAAUGGAUACCAUAAAAUGGGUAGAUGCAAUAUUUUCACUGUAUUAUGGAUCUCACAUGGUAAAGCUAUUUUCCAUAAUACAUUCUU
Magnolia sinica is the source of this 620-nucleotide long non-coding RNA. RefSeq lists it as uncharacterized. NCBI's taxonomy places the organism in Eukaryota, Viridiplantae, Streptophyta, Magnoliopsida, Magnoliales, Magnoliaceae. The transcript is spliced from 3 exons. The record is from RefSeq and is a predicted model, not a curated record.